UUAAUUGGAAGAAUCUUGCUUUUUUAUUAUGAGUUAACUUAAUAAUGCAAAAAGCACUAAACACUAAAACAUCACACAAAAUAAUCAAUAUAGCUUCAUUACGGCUUCAACUGUUGUAUAGUUGUGUUGACUAUAAAAGCAUAGACAAUAUUUGACAACACUAAAAUGGACGUAAUUAUGAUAUGUUAUGAGAUUUUGAGAUAGUCAUUGCAUGUUUGUAAUGGUUAAAAUGAAAAAAUAUUAGUUGUUGUUACUGAGUCGAUAUAUAAAUGGAUUAAAAACAGCAUGUCGUACAUCUGUUACUUCAAUUAAUUCAUAGGAAUUCUUGAGAUAUAUUGUAUUGAAAACACAUUCAUAGUGAUCUAAGUUUGAAAAGCAUUCCGUAGAGAAUAUAGCUUCCAAAGAGGAGUGUGCAGGUUAUAAUUUUCCUUCACCACCCUCUAACAGGGAUGUCAUCAAUUUAGGUAUUCAAGUGGAUGUUAGCAGCAGUACAUUUAUACAGAAUCAUUUGUGGUCAUUUCCGUGUCCACCAGCAUGGUGGCCAGGUUUCUGUACUGAUCUCCAGUCUAUCUCUACAGUAAACUUCUCUUGCCAGGAAAUAACUAUCCUACUAGAAGUAUGCCUCAAACAAACGGAAGAAAAGUUUUAUAUUAAUUUAUUGUCGGAUUGUAAAAUUCAUCUGCAUUGCAAAGAAUUCAAAAGGUUGUGUUCAUCUGAAAAGUAUUGGCAUUACUGUGUCGACGGUACGACUCACAGUGUAACAAAUUCUGUUAAAGAAGAUAAUGCAAAGACACACAUGAAUAAUACAACGGAAAUUACCAUGGGAAAUAGUGUAAUAGACUCAGGUGUAUCCUACAUUGGACCAAACAACUGGCAUGUACUUUGGGCCCUGUUAGUUCUAGUCUACAUAUUCGUAUUUGUGCCUUGCUUUUUAAACUUUGUAAUAAAACGGUCUCUGAUAGAAAAGAUUCGGAACAGAUGUCAGAGAGGUAGAACCAAAACUCUGAAGACAAACUGUGAUGACGACGAACCGCCUUUAAUACCUGCAGUACACAAAGAGUUACACAGUCCAGUUGACGCGGAGAACUCUCUAUUUAUUCCAUCCAGACCAGAUUCUAUGACAUCUUCAAUAGGACAUGAAUUCGAUUUUCCUUACGCCGAUCAAAGUGCAGCUGUUUCAAUGUAUUCUCUGUUAAUAGAUGACCAAGACAGUAGAUGAGAAUACGCAUAAAAUAUUCAUAAACAAAGACAUUUUAUUUAGAUAACUAACUGAGAGAUGCCCGUCAUGCCAAUUCAAAAUGUUUCUUUCAAUUUACUCUAAACCUGGAUAUUGGAAUUCAGAGUGGUACUCUGUCUUCAUUUCCUCAAAAUAUUUUAAAAUAUUUCUGUAACACAAAAACAUAUCACACGGUCAUGCAUUAUUGUUACAUGGAUAUUCUGUGGUUAUAUGUUGGAACUUCAUAGAUUUUGAUCUAGUCUAAUUGUUACAUAGAUAUUCUGUGGUUAUAGGUUUCUAGUACUGAAUAUAUAGAUUAUGAUAUAGUCCAAUGGGCUAUACCGUCUGAAAGAUGUAUAAACAAGAGAAAAUAUUUUUAAACAAUGCAAUUUUAUGCAAUUGUUUUAAGAUAAAGCACUUUGUAAAAAAGUAAAACGGACUUUAAACAUAUAAGGUGUAAACUAUAUUAAACAGACAAAACAGAUACAUAAUAAUAGUACCAGAAAACUUUCGGUCAAAAUACAAUAUCAAAGCAUAAAAGAAGAAGAUGCGAACCAUAGCAUGAUAUACAAGAACACAGCAGUAAAGUAAACCAUAGCAUAAUCUAUACAACUGUAAACCAUAGCAUAAUAUAUACAACUGUAAACUAAAGCAUAAUAUACACAGCUGUUAACCAUAGCAUAAUAUACACAGCUGUUAACCAUAGCAUAAUAUACACAGCUGUUAACCAUAACAUAACAUACACAGCUGUUAACCAUAGCAUAAUAUACACAGCUGUUAACCAUAGCAUAAUCUAUACAACUGUAAACCAUAGCAUAAUAGUGAUAGGCGUUUUGAAUCUGUAUUUAAAUCAUACUAUUAUUGUAAACAAAAGUUGUUUAUUAGAGAUUUUACUCAGGUUUAAAUUUGAAUUGCAUGAAAAGUGUUAAAUAUAGUAUAUGCUCAAUGCCAAAUGUAUAUUUUUUUGAUGAUUGGGAGAAGGAAAUGGCGCUUUUAUGUAAAAUUGCUUUUAUUUUUUCUUUGUUAUAUGUUGUAGUUAUUAUUGUAACAGUGAAAAUUAAACAACAAUUAUUUAUUUUGAAUAUUUGAAUGGUGAGAACAAUAAAUUAGUUUUGUAACUC
Mytilus californianus (California mussel) is the source of this 2337-nucleotide RNA transcript. RefSeq lists it as uncharacterized. The transcript is spliced from 4 exons. Lineage: Eukaryota; Metazoa; Mollusca; Bivalvia; Mytilida; Mytilidae. The record is from RefSeq and is a predicted model, not a curated record.